RNAcentral lists this long non-coding RNA (268 nucleotides) under Zonotrichia albicollis (white-throated sparrow). RNAcentral describes it as "lncRNA (ENSZALG00000017292.1)". Lineage: Eukaryota; Metazoa; Chordata; Aves; Passeriformes; Passerellidae. The record is from RNAcentral.
GUUGGGCAGCGCGCCAACCCUUGCCCUGCUGCACAGAAUGACAAGGCAUGCGAAGAUGACAGAGCUAAUGAGCUUCAAGAGACUUCUUGGGAGACUUGAAAUCUGCAUGGAAGGACUCCAGCCUGUGAUGUUACAGCUCUUGUUUGCUCCCUGUAAAAUGACAUCAGCCAGAGGUCACAGUGCUCAGUGGGGAUCCACCACAUGAGGAUCUAUUUGCACAGUCUAAAAAUGCUAGAUCCUCCUCUAGAAGUCUUUACAGACUAAAAAG